GGAGAGGUGGCUCAGAGGUUAAGAGCACUGACUGUUCUUCCAGAGGCCCUGAGUUCAAUUCCCAGCAACUACA
RNAcentral lists this transfer RNA (73 nucleotides) under Neotoma lepida (desert woodrat). It matches the Rfam family "tRNA". Rfam says of the family: Transfer RNA (tRNA) molecules are approximately 80 nucleotides in length. Lineage: Eukaryota; Metazoa; Chordata; Mammalia; Rodentia; Cricetidae. The record is from Rfam by way of RNAcentral.